UCCUGCCCCCAGCAGUGACUACCGGCAACUGCAAGGAGCUGUGGCUGUGCAACAAGCUGGUGGCACUGCUGGCCACGCUGGAGGAAGCCCAGGAGGGCACGGAGUUUGCCCACAUGGCCCUAGCACUCAGCAUCACUCUGGGGGACUGGCUGAAUGAGUGCAUGGCCUACCACCGGCUGGCCGCCCUGCACCAACGGCUGGGCGACGGCGAGCUGGCGGAGCACUUCUACCUCAAGGCCCUGUCGCUCUGCAACGCUGGAGUUCGACCAGGAGACCCUCUACUACCUGAAGGUUUACCUGAUGUUCGGCGACAUCAUCUACGACCUGAAGGACCCGUUUGAUGCAGCCGGGUACUACCAAGCUGGCACUGGCAGCCACUGUGGACCUGGGCAACAAGGAGGCACAGCUGAAGAUCUACACGCGGCUGGCCACCAUCUACCACAACUUUCUCCUGGACCGCGAGAGGUCGCUCUUCUUCUACCAGAAGGCCAGGACCUUCGCCACAGAGCUCAACGUCCGCAGGGUCAACCUGCCUCCUCUGCCACUCUGCUGGUGGGCCCCUUAGGUUGGCCCCAGCCACCCUCGCUGAGGACAGCAUCCGAGGGAGUGGGUUUUGUGCAAGGAGGGUGGUCUCCUGCCUCCCGUGGCUCAUUUUCUGGGAAAUGGAGGCAUGAAAGCAGGGUCAAAUAG
This 690-nucleotide long non-coding RNA is filed under the name Macaca fascicularis (crab-eating macaque). RNAcentral describes it as "lncRNA (ENSMFAG00000051450.1)". The record is from RNAcentral. Lineage: Eukaryota; Metazoa; Chordata; Mammalia; Primates; Cercopithecidae.